Long non-coding RNA from Lactuca sativa (garden lettuce), 656 nucleotides. RefSeq lists it as uncharacterized. The record is from RefSeq and is a predicted model, not a curated record. Lineage: Eukaryota; Viridiplantae; Streptophyta; Magnoliopsida; Asterales; Asteraceae.
UCAUUUUGACCGCGCUCUUUAUCUUUCCAUUUUACUCUUGCUUAUCUUUAGCCGGACCUCCGCAUUUAUCUCUGGAAAUUAACCACAAAUUCGAAUUCUCCCUCAUCCCUUCCGGCUUUAUCUCUGAUAAAUUCAAGAUAUACGUUUUCUUCAUCAUCUCCUCUAUUCAAUCUAGGGUUUUUACGAGCUUUUGAUUGCUGAUUUUCGUUUUUGUGUAAUAACCACUUUUGUUUGCUCAUAUUUUCAACUUCCUCAUGUUUUUAUUGAUUGGAGCUUGCGAAGGAACUGAUGGCGAUGAACCAAGGUUGUCGACCCAAUCAGUGAUUCCUAUCGGAUGACCCUAAAUCACAACAGAUAUUUCAACAUAUGAACAACUACAACAAUACAUAGUUUGAAGUGGCAAUGUUUAUUAGAGGCAUGGAUGACAGAAUUGGUAUUUGGCCUUGAUUUAUCAGGAUGCAUUGUAGUGUCAGCAUUUCUUGAACUAAUAUUCGCAGCUAGAUCGUACAUGUGAAGGUGAUAUUGGACUACUGGAGAUUCGUCAUUGGAUGAAAAUUUGAACCUCUAAUAUUUAUAAGAGGAAUGUACUUAAAUUAUUUACAGGUUAUAACAGUAUGCAACCCAUAAUAGCAAGGUGCUUCAAUUUUUUAUACAUA